Molecule: long non-coding RNA, 307 nt
Organism: Acanthochromis polyacanthus (spiny chromis)
Lineage: Eukaryota; Metazoa; Chordata; Actinopteri; Pomacentridae
Exons: 3
Source: RefSeq, a predicted model, not a curated record
UUACCUUCAUUGGAUCUGAUCACUGAUUUGUCCAGUUUGGUGUUGAUGUCUUUGACACCAGACAGCUGAAACACACAGUCGUACUUCUUCCAGUCUUCAUCAGCGAUUGAUGAAAUCUUCAGGUCAACACUCAUCUGGAAGGUUCCAUCAUGGUUGGGGAGGAUCUCUCCUUUGUCCACGUCCUCAUGAAGCUCCUCUCCAUCUUUCCUCCAGAACAAGUCGGCUCUGUCGGGGUAGAAACCUGUAGCGUGGCAGGUGACCGGAGAGGAGGAAGUCUUCUGGAGGAGAGACACUGAGGGAAGAUCUG